Molecule: long non-coding RNA, 31404 nt
Filed under: Triticum aestivum (bread wheat)
Lineage: Eukaryota; Viridiplantae; Streptophyta; Magnoliopsida; Poales; Poaceae
Description: long non-coding RNA (TAES_LNC009312)
Rfam family: MIR1120/MIR1122 microRNA precursor family (bases 5386-5518)
Source: RNAcentral
AAAUAAUUAGACAAAACAGGCAAGACACCGAACCAUCAAUGUUUAAUUUCUUGACUAUUGCUAUGGUGUUUAAAUUCUUGACUAUUGUUAUGAUCAAAUACAGUUUCGUUAUCACCAAUCAAACAAACCAACAGUUAUGGUUAUGUAGCCACUAUUACAACCAGUUACAAAGUCAGUGGAGCAGAGCUCCAGGCACGAGAUGACGAUGUCAUGUGUAACACGGAUCCAGAGACAUCACCAAGAUCAUUUCCCCAGAAAGCAGAGACAUAUUCACUACAUGCAGACAGGAAUCAGGAGCUGCUUGAUAAUCUCGCAACCUUGGCUCAUCUCAUCUCACUCACCACACAGGAGAUAGGCACCAUAGACUGACAGGUCGGAUCAGGCAACGCACCUGUCUCCUAUUAAGGCUUCAGCGGAGAUGGAGAUCUCAGUGAUUACCACCGACAAGUUCCCGCAAUCACUUCAAUCUCGUGCACAUAGUCCAUCAGCGUUUGCUUCACUACCGGCGGGCAAUCAAGAGAGCAAGAUGCAACAUUUUCUUCUGACAAAGCUUGUGUGGGUUUUUCAACAUUUUAAUAUUUGCCAUCUUUUCGCCAGACACCAUGACACGGGCGAUGCUAAAAUCAUCCCCCUUUUCCAGUGCAAACUGCCAUUCCCUCGCUGUGAUGUAGAACCAGUUUUUGUUUGAAGUUGUGGUUGCCUUCACCUCCACAUACUCUAUCCGAUUAUCUCCGCGGGUGAUGAUAAUAUCAUAGGGCAGUCCGGUUUCAGUGUCUGCAUUCACCCACCUGACGUUCUUGGCCCCUAGCCGCUCAACCAAAUGUUUGUAGGCUACAGCUUCACCAACCCUGCCAGUUUUUAGUAACUGGGCUGCGCGGAGCCUUUCCCUGCCUUCUGAAGUAUUGGGCAUUUUGUCACUGAAAUCCAUUACCUCAGUCUCGCUAGGUGAACCGGUCCCCAGGUCCAAAUAAGCAGGUGCACCGUCCGCGUUAAUGGACAUCACCAUCUGAGGCUCGUCCAAUGUUGCCACUGUGCUUUCUGUGUGUAAGUUACUUUCUAGACUCGUAUCCUCUUCUAUAACCCAAUCCUCGUCGAGCUGAACAGGAAACCAAUUAUCUUCUGUAUUUGUGAGCUCAACAUCAUUCACCUCUGUAUCUUGCAGGGGUCCAGGAAGCCAAUUAUCAUUAUUCACCUUUGUAUCUUGCAGGGGUCCAUGCUGACUUCUGCGGGAUGUUCUAAAAUCAGGAGCUGUUCUCCAAUUAUUAGGUGGCCAACUUGAAACAGUUCCGUCUGACCUCUGAUGUUGUUUGUGAAUAUUGAGAACACAGGCAGAUGAGGUUUCAACCGGUUUGGAAUCAACACCUUGGUCGGGUACAAACUCUGGCACAAACGAGGAAGAAAAGGACCAAACCGCUUCCUCUUCAGGCAACGCAGGCACAUUCUGAUUAUUAACGACAAAAGACUCAACCUGUUCAGCUGAGGUGCCAGAUAUGGCCAUGGUUUUGACCAUGUGCAGAAAAUUCGCAAAGUGCAGAUCAGGGGAUCCAUCAAAGAAAAUUCUAGAAGUUUCCAGAAACAAUGAAUGUGAAUCAGCUUCUUGCGUAGCAUACAGAAUAUUUCCCUGAAAACAAAUAACAGAUCAAAUCAAAUGAACUUUAAAGCUCAUGGCAGAUGACAUAACAGAGCAAAACCUUAAAUCAUCAAGUGCAUCAAGCAUUCAAGCAAUGCCGUUGCAGGAACUUCUAAAGGUCUUAAUUUUGCAUAGUCAACAAAAUGUAAUAAGGUCGAUACAUGGUAGUACAUUACACUUAAUUUAACUAUUUAUCAGGUAUAAGUAGCAACCAAAGUUAGAGAUCGCCAGUUAUAGCAUUAUUCGGAUGCAAAAGUGCAUCGGUAUAUUCAGUGGCACAUCACUAUAUCCUUCAGCGGUGUCAUAGGAGGGACCCGAGAAUAAACCAUCUAACUAAGCAAGCAAUAGUCCAUCGUAAUUACCUAACAAAUAUGCAGUUACUAUUCGGAAACAAAAGAUUAGCAAGGAGGUAAUCACUCACACUAGUUACCAUAAAGGCGGAACAGAAACAUAGGUACCAACCUGCAGAAGACAAUGGCAUUUGAAUCUUUUCUUAGAAGAACUCUCAUGUCCUUUAAGCAUAUACUUGUGGAACAACUUUUCAACAACAAUAAUCUGAAGAUUGCUAAGCUUCAUGAUCUCAUUUUGCUGAAAGUUGAUAUAUGCAUCUCUAUGCGUCUUAUAGAUGUAGCGUUGCAUAUAUGGUAACAGUCCACAAAGCAAAGUAGCCUUUUCCCUGUUGUCAGCCGUGCCAUAGAAUAUUGCUUCACGAUGCACAACCUAUACAAAAGCAACAAAAGUGAAUGAGAACAAUACUUAAGAUGGACACAAAUUCAGGAUAUGCCACUCAAUAAACCAAAGUUCUGAAAAAAUAACCUAAACUUAAUAUGCAGCUCGUGCAGUUGCGGAAAUGGUAAAUAAAGUACUAUAUACUUUAAAAAUAUGACAUGUACAUAUCAAGUAUGUUACUACAAUUUACAGCAUAUAACCUUCAAAUGCUGCUAGCCUAUUACUAGCAGAUAUGAGUGAAGUCAUAAUGUGACCCUUGUAGUCAAUUUUGAUGACUGUGAUGAAGACAUCAGCCCCAGCAAGGCUAUAAAGAACUAGUAUGUGUAUAAUGUGGAAGUGGUGGAAAGUUGAGUAACUUUUUCUAGUUAAAAAUAAAGAAAAGGAAAGAAGCACGUGUGACCUGUAGCCAUUUCCCUAUAACAAAAAUGUACAGUUUUACCAAAUUUCUCGUCAAUUAUUCUAUUAUAGAUGGAAUCAUAGGAUGGAGCUUUCAGAAUUUUACGUUUAGGAACUUGUGGGAAAUUCCAAUUGACUUUGCAGUUUCAACAGCAUGACACACACCAUUACAACACCUUCCACCCUCAUUUCUCGCUGCUGCCACUUGCAGGAUGGGUAGUGGUUCCAGUGGAUGGUAGAAAUUAACAUUGUGAAGCACAUGAAAAAUUCACUUCUACCAUAAAGAAUUGCUUCCACCGAUCAGCCAUUCUCUGCGUGAAGGGUGGCUUUGCUUGACUCCCGUGUCGCUCUCGCGGGCGUCUCGGGAGAAACCCCAGCCGCCGCCGACAGCCACCCUCGCCUCCCCCCUCCUCCUCCCGCCGCCGCCGGAGGGCGUCCCUGGGCAAAGCCCUCGGCGCCGGCGCCGGCGGGGACGGCUCUCCCUCCUCUUCUCCAGGCGUGGCGGCGCGGGACGCUGGCCGGCGACGGGGACUCGCGGGCGGGCACGGGUGGUCGGGGGCGCGCACCGGCAAUGGUCGCGCAGUGCGCCGGCGCGAGCGGCGCGGAGGCGUGGGCAGCUGGGUCUCCAAGGAUCCGACGCCGCUCUGCCCAGGGGAGCUCCAGAUCCAGCUCCCUUCGGACGGCGGCCCGUUUCCCUUGGCCGGCGGUCCCCGCGGCCGCGACUGGGGGCUGGUGGCGUAGGCGGGUGUGGUGGUCAGCGCAGCGUGGUGGAGCAGGCCGUGGCGGUGACCCUGGUGACUGCCAUGCCUGGUCUGGGUGCCUCUCUUCGCCCAAAUCUGGACCCCUCUGGGGCGGUGGCUCGAACGGCUGGUGCACUCCAUGGUUGCGGCUGGGGGUCAUUGGUGGCUGCUGUCGGCGGGGUAGGCGUGUGGUGGUGUGGUGUUGUGGCCGGCGGUGAGGGGUUGGGUGCAGGUGGCAGCCGAGACAGAACCAACUCUGUCUAUGCAGGUGCUCGAGGUGAGCGGCUGUGUUUGCGGAUGACUCUUGCUGGACCAAGCGGGGACGCUCGCCGUGGACUGGCAGGAGAGGGGAAGGUCUAGCGCUGCCGGACUCGGCGGCCGGCGUUUGCGGAGUCGGCCGGACUGGGAUGCUUCGGGCGAAAGCCUAUUGUCGACCUCGUCGGCAACGAUGAUGACGACGUCUCCUGGCGCCGUGUCCCUUCGUGAAGGCAUCACUGGGGAGCUACCGUUGCCGGCUAUUUCUUUGUGCUUCGGGCGAAAGUCUCAGAUCCUUCUCUGGAUCGGACGACGACGACAUCUUCAAUGUUGUUUCCCCCUUGGGGGCGUCGUUUCAGGAGCCAGGGAUCCGCGGUUGGUCGUCUGAUGUCUGGGCUGGAGUGUUGGUUCAGGUUGCUGGUUUGUAGGGCGGUGGCGGUGGAGGUGCUCUGUGGCGGCGACCAGUACCUUGGUCAUCCUAUGCUGAUGGUUGACCUCUCUUUUGGGGGCUUGUGGCGGUGGUGAGGUCUCGGUGUUCGGCACCCUUCGAUGGCUUUUGAGGUUUGGUGGCCUGCGGAGUGCUAUGGUUCUCUCCAUUUGUGAUGGUGGCCGUGGUGUGGCUCAAAGGAGGUGUAGGGCUAUCUCGGCAGAAAAUUGCCCUUCGGCACGGUCUGUGGCUUUCUCUGCCGCGACGUUCCUAGGCAGCAGGAUGCUCUUCGAUGGUGGCUACGAUCUCCUAGCUCUUCAAGGUGCAGAGAUCGCAUGGUAGCAGGCAACUUCUUCUCUACGUCUUCUCAGUGGCGGAUGUCCUUUCGACGGAUCCAACAAAGCUAGUUCCUGCUCUUCUCGGUCCACUGGUGGUGAUGGAUGCUAAGUUCUUGGUGUUGGCUGCUUGUCGUAGCUCGCCUCUGGUUCUUUUUCUGUUGUUCCUUAUUCCAUCUUCUAUUCUGUUGUUCUUGGUUCCUUCUCCUAUGUGUCGAGUGAUAUCUGUUGUAACCGUCGUGUUGUAUCUCAAUCUUAUCUAUAAUGAAAAUGGUUCAGGCUGGCGUAAGCCCGCCGUAGCACCGUCAAAUAAAGAAUUGCUUUAAUUUAUUGCAUCACUCUAUUUCCUUGUUGCCGAAAUCCUCUACUGUGGUCUUUUUUUUUCAAAUCCCAAAAAGGUGUUACUUCCUACUACCCAUUUGUAGGAUGAGUAGCAUACGGUAAAAUAGUCAAAGGGCUCAGGCCAAUCUUUAUUAAGAUCGGAGAGAACAUUUACGAAGCAGCGAAGGUCGCCAAGGGUAAAAGCAGGUGAAGCUGUAGGCAGAGCCUCGUGGCCAAACACCACAAACAUACAACACCACGACCGCGCAAGCACAGCUAGUGGUAGCGACACAUGCCACAGACACACAGCUGCACCACAGCAAAAGCACGAGCAGCCAGCUAGAAGGCCGCGAUGGUAGCAAAACACCCUGCCUCCCACCAGGGUCUCAGCUCCUCAAUGAUCGUGUCCACCACUCCAGCCGGGGUCAAUGAGAGGCCGUUGAAGAUUCAUGCAUUGUGCUCCUUCCAUAUGCGCCAAUGCACACCGUAUCAAAGUCCCUCCUAAGCAGCUUAGGGGCAAGCUUUCCUCACGCGCAGCCACGUACGGUAUAAAUAGUACUCCCUCCGUCCCAAAAUUCUUGUCUUAGAUUUGUCUAGAUACAUAUGUAUCUAAUACUAAAAUGUGACUUUCAAUCCGUAUUUAGACAAAUCUAAGACAAGAAUUUUGGGACGGAGGGAGUAGUAGUGAGGCGCAUUAAAAUCUGCUUGUACCAUAGUAAACUUUAUUUAUCAAAACAUUGUUUUUUAUACUAACUUCCAUUUCCGGGUUAUCCUAGUCAUUAAAUAGACAGAUAUGGCCCUGGUAAAGCAGGCAGCUGAUAGUAGCUGUCAGGCGCCCACAAACUGGCUACUCUGUUCGGUUGUGAUGCAAGGGAUUGUUAGUUGUUACAGCCCGCUAAAACCCGCUACAGCAUAGUUCGCACUGUGCAGCAGCAUUUUGGUGCAAAUACAUUUUGUAUUUUCGUAUAAUUCAUUCGUUACAUAUUACUCAAGAUGUGAAAUAUGCCCCGAUCCAAAUAACCAAAAUAUAAUAUUUAUGUUUCUGCAAACACAGCCAAGUGGAUGCAGAACAUGGAGCAUGCCUUGCAUCUAAAUUAGCCAAUGGCGCAUAGCAAACUUUACUAAUCUUCUAAUUUGUAUUACUUUGCACAACUAUGCAGCUAAAUGACGAAUUACAUACAACACUUCCAGCAUGAAGACUUUGCUGAAUGUAGGAAAGAAGUCAAUAAAGAUACCAUAAAACAAGAAAUAUAUUACCUUGGAUAGCGCUGGGAUACCUAGGCUUUUCAUCAGUGCAGCAACUCUUCCAUAUAAGAUUUGCUUGUCCUCAGAAGAAAGUGUACCAAAUUGUAUGAAGUCAACAUCAAUACAGUUCUGAAAGUGUUGUUUCAACUCAUCAUCAUCUGACCAGCAAACAAGGCCAAAAGAUGGAUGGAGAGAGACCCAUUUAUCAACCAGGGUUGGCAAUAUCGUUGUCUCCAGCUUCUGAAGAGAAUCUUUCACAUAAACUAGAUCGUUCUUGUCACUCACAGAAUGGAUAUCGGUAGCCCAUCUCACAAAUACACGGAAGACCUAUGUAGAAUGUGGAAACGAAAGUUCAUAUUUUAAAGGCGUACAGCCAACAGUUGAGGCAAUGACAAAUAAAAAGACAUAACUUUAGGUACUCCAUGCAAAAGCAACUUACCUGAUGGGCUACUUGUGAAGGCAGUGCAACUUUAGAUAGCCGUAAGAGCAUCUCUACAUAAUCAGCUGUUGUUGGAACUUUUGGUACACCACAUGCUUCCGUAAAGAAUUCACAAAGGUUUGGAUAGGUUGAGCACAGCAUCCUUCUUGGGAACAUCCUAUUCUUCACCAAAACGAAUUCCUCUGUCGUUUCAGAACAACCUGUUGGGUCAUGCCAAUAGAGGUCUUUUGGGGAUAAAAAUUUACCAUGGACGACCUCACUGGAUCGAGCACGGAUUAGUGGUGUAAAUAUAGAUGAGCAUGACGUGAACUCCCGUUUGAUGUCAAUCUUUGCAUCAGCUGCACCUUCUGACACAAAGGUAUAGAAUUUGCUCAUCUGGUCCACACUGAAGAAAAGGCAGGUCAACCAUUAGAAAUUAUUUGACAAAAGAAAAUUUGCAGGGUAGUGUGCGGUGAAAAACAACUACAUGCCAGUGGGAUUGAUCUGGAAAUGUUCAAAUUAGUUCUUAAGCACAUACCCACAUUUUAAGCAACCACAUGUAUAGAUUAAAAUAGAAACAUGGUAGUGUUUAGACUAGUAAUCUUUACAGUUGCUUCGCAUCUAAGCAUGGAGAUCAGAUUUUCUUUUAAUGAAAUACCUUGCGCUGAAUGGAACUUGUGAUGUCAUCCAUAAGUUCAGGGUCAUUAAAGCGUCACUGUGGGAUACAUUUGUUUUGAAUCCAAUAACAUUCCUUAGUGACCCGCUGGAUACCUGUUCCACAGAAAUGAAGUUUCCAAGGUGAGUGGGCAAACGUGUUGGUAAGGAUAAAUAAAACACUUCUUUCUAUCGGCUUGUAGGUAAUAAUAAAAACUACAAACCUGAGGUACAGCAUAUGGGGCCACACCACCAAGCAGGGAACGCACGCUUUCACAAUCAUAAAACAAAUCCGUUGCAUUAUGAAGGUCAUAAUCCACAGUUGACGCUAUCCAUUUGAAGCUUCUGAUACAUUUCAUAAAGGAUGACUCGACUGUUCUGUUCCCAUCACAACUGGUCCCGCUUGUGAGACACCAAGCUUUUGCACUAUAAUGAUCAUCCCAGAAACUGUCAAGAACCUCCAUAAGAUAUAUGCAAUUUUCUCGGCAAUUUUUUGAAGAAAAUGAUGAUAAAAUGUUAGCCAGUUCUGGUGACUCCCAGUCAUACACUGUACAGGAUGUUCCAGAAACACCACCUUGCAAUAUUCUUCCUGCUAUCAAAGAAUCAACUUGGGAUAUGUUUUUCUCAACUUUCAUUACAUGCACAAAAUCAGUCACACCCAUCUCCUCAAAAAAUUGCCUCCAACUUUUCAGCACAGAUGGCAGCAAAUCUGAACCAUGAUUCAUCAAGUAACCACUAUCAAGUUCUAUCCAUCUGAUUUCAACAUUCUUAAGUAGCUUGCCUAUGUCCACAGGACUUCCAUAUUCUUUACUAAAGUGAAUUGGUUCAUCAGCUGGGCACUUGUAGCCAUGGUUUGUAAGUAAGAUGGGUCUACUUCGUAGUUCUGACAUUAUCUCUUCCUUCCCAAAAUUACAGCUUGUACAUGGAGACUGAAGAUGGAGCAUGAUAAAACUCACAUACUCUAUCAUCAUCAUCUUAUCAACCUUCUUAGCAUCUGUACCAUUUGGCAAGGAUGCGAGGAUGUGAUUUUUGAUAAUUUCAUGUCCAGACAACUUUCGCACCCCGAUUUUCAGAAGAAUAUCCGUCAGAUCGUUAGCUCUCAUUUCUUCUAUAAGGUAUUUAUUUUUACAGGACACAGAGAAAAGCAAUGGACUAACAAAUCGAAGGUUACCAUACAGAAUUGGGAAAUCCUUCAUGCUACCUUUGCAGUCAGUUGUGGAACCGAGAAUAUCAUGAGGCAACCAUAUAGGGCCAUCUGCUACAGAACUAAAUGAACCAUCUGAAAGCGGAAUGCAUGGUAAUUUCCUGAGAGCACAUAAAAGAUCACCUUCCAGACUUGUUGUCGAGGGAAUAUUUUGAAAAGAACGUGACAGCGCCAAAUGAAGAUUUACAAACCAAGCACAUAGCCACUCCAUCCCCAGUGACUCAAUGGAACCCUCAGUUCGGCAAAUUGAUGAUACCAUAUCAAUAAAAACAUUUGGUCCAUGAUCGUGAAUACCUAGGGCCCUUGAUAAUGUAUCAGGUAUGAUGAUAUCUUUUGACAGAUAACCAAGACCAAGAUGCUGAUGAAGUAAGCCAUCAGAAAACAGCAUUUUAGUCUGUUCAUCCCAACCCCUUAAUGUGUUGCAUGGAUAGACCCAUUGCGAACUAGAACCCUCCAAAACCAUGCACCUAUUCAGACGUAACUUGGAAAGGAUUAAGUGAGGGAGCUUGCAAAAGAAUCCAUGAACUUCUCCUGCUAGAGGAACAAAACUCAUGAAUGCUGUAACAGCCUUUCCAGGGCAACUCUGGAAGCAGGGAAGGGAACAAAAGGAUUCUUGUGCACUGACAAACAAAGAGGGGAAUUCGGAUAGCAACCACUGGUUCCAUGCAUUAUCUGCAUCCACUUCCUCUCUGGAAGAAGGUAAAACAAAAUCCCCUUGAAGAAUGAAUUUAAGACCAUAGUUCCUUAGAGGUAGAAAAGCGAACACAGGCUGUUGCUUCAAGUAAGGUUCAUACUCUCCUUUCUCAGUCUCCUGCAAAGUAAAUGCCAGAGCUAUCUCUGUAGUGUGCACAUCAUGGCGUACAAGUGUGCCCUGUAACUUCUUACUAACUACCAACCAACUCAUUAUCUCAUUCCCAUGUGAGAUCCUCACAAUGCCAUCACCAAGAGCCUUCCUUCUCAUAACCAGCAGUGUGUCAUUCACCACAUUCUUAAACUUGAUACAAUUCAGUCGGUUAAGGAACAGAAGCAGAGAUGGGUGGAGAUCUGAAAACAUGGAUGCAAUGGAGCACAUGCCAGUGUCAUCCCUGAAUUUAGAUCUGAAGGGAAGUAAAAUGCAAGUAUUCCAGCGGGAACAAGCGUCCUUAUCAUCUUCAACAGAUAACAUUCUACUCAAAGAGCUAGUACUGUAGGGUGGAACUGCAGUUGGCAAUACAAAACCAAUCUGGCCGUCGGUAAUGUCAAAUUUCACAUGGAAACCAUUUGAAUGGAUCUCUGGAGCAUCAGUUACCUGACAUAUUAGACAGAACAAAAAUGUGAUUUUUCCACAUUAACUCGAGAUUCCUACCCAAAAUAGUAGAUGGCAAAAAUUCAAAUGACUGAUACAAAAAGAAAUUCAUGAAAUCAUAGAUGGCAAAGCAAGCAAUAGUAAAAUCAUUAUGGCUUUAUGGUGGUAAUAAUUGGAAAUGAUUCUAUUAAACCUACCCGAAAUACUGAUUUAAAUCCAAUGCCCUUAUUUCCAAUAUAACCCCUGUUGGCUCCUUUCUUUGUUGAGUUACCAAUAUCACAAAGAGCUCUAAUGUUCUCAGCAGAAAAGCCCCUCUCGUUGUUGAGAACAACGAUACCAUUAUCCUGAAGAACGAAUGCUAAUGUGGGUUCAACAUCCUCAAGAUAAGUAUUAUCGUCAGCAUUCUGUACCUGAAUAGAGUAGGCAGAUGUCAGCAAAAAACUGAUCUUCGCACCAAACAAGCACAAAAAAUGAACGAGUGCAAGUUAAGCUUACCAGCUCAAGAAGUAGGUGAGAAUCCUGAGAGUAUAAUUCUUGUGAAAGACAAUGCAGUGCUCGGCCAAGUCGAGCAUGCUGCUUCGUCAACAAACUAUUCUCGGUGCAGCUUAGAGCCUGAUCCAAACCAAACUCAUCACGUCGUAUAGUCUCAAUAACUAGAGCUGCUUCCUCGAGAUUAAUUUCUCCCCUCACGGGAGAUUGGUUUGUAUGAAAUGCAGUUUCUGCCUUGACUCCAACAGGAUUUAACAUGUUCUGGUUUUCCUUAUUAUUCAUAGAAAGGACUUGAUCCUUUCCGCCAGGAAAUGAUUUAGUACUGUCAUUCACCAUAUCAGCAUCAUGAGGAAUAAGCAUGUUAGAGUUUUCAAGUGUAGGUCCUUCAGAUACAGCUGAUGUAUGCCCAGAAGAAGAAUGUGUUUCUGUCUUUGCACGACCUUCAGCUAAACAGAAUUCACGAUAAUCUUCGACCCACUCGGUAAUUCCAAGUGACAACCCAACAUCAUGAAGCAUGCAAAGCUGCCAAGUUUCUGUGGCUUCAUGUAAGAUGACUGAAUAGCAAUUUUUGGUAACUGUCCGAAGUCCGGACAAUAGUAUAUCUGCUGCAAGACUCCGGAAUUCAGAAGGCAGAUGACCAAGACAAUCAAGGAAAAAUUUGGCAACAAAAUGAAUAGUGCUGUCAAUGUUUGUUAAGACAUCAGACAUGACAUUUCUUGCAGAAGACAGAUGGGAGCUUUCUUGAACAUGGCCAACAAAAUGAGGAGAGCUGUCACGCUGUUCAGCACUUAGAUUAUGGGAUCCCUCAGUCACAAAUGGUUUGCCAUCAGAACUAGUGUUCAUUGGAUCCUUGUUGUUGUUCAUUAUGAUACCUAUUGCUCGUUGUGCAUAACACUUCAGUAAGGAAAAUGGAGUAUUCACAGAACCAUUGUAAAUGUGCAGCAAGGAAAGCAGCUUCACUGCCACUUGAAAUGGUGAGCAUUGAAUAAUGGCUUCUAAAAAUUGGUCAACCGUGGCUGAUGGAUCUACUCUUAUAAAUCUACCAUCUGUGGUCACGAUGCAAGCUAGCUGUUGAACUGGACCUGCAUUCAGCAGCCAGUGUAUGAAGGAACCCAGUGAAGGAGCAAACAACAUAUCCCAAUGUGACCAGAGAAGCAGAUCUGACAACAUUGGAGCCUUAAGUAAACAGUUAGUUGCUUCUCGUGAAGAAACGGUUUCAGAAUAAUAAGUUUGUUCAGAACUGUUCCUCUGCCCACCAACAGUAUCAUGCUCGCCUGGAGACAUUCCAGACCACCGUUUCUCCAACAGAGAGACAGAAAACGUGAUAUUAUUUGUGUGUGUGCUCCUUCUCUGUCUCUCUAUAGAACCUUUAAGUUCUUCCCCAGAUUUGAAUUGUGCAAUAUCAAAACUAAUUGUCGGGAACUGCCUUUUGAGAAGCAUAAGGAAACUAUCCCCUGAAAAGUCACCAUCUUCUAGCCAGUUACCCUCGGCUUGGCAGAGUAGGACUUCAAUUUGUUGCCGCAGUACAGAAACUUCCAGAGACGAAGAAUUAGAGUUCCCCCGCUUCAACAAACUACUCAACUUAGGGGGGAAGUGAUCACCAUGUUUUCCCAAAAACUCAAGGAAAGUCCCAUGGCCAAGAGAAGUAAAUUGCUUGGCAGAAAAUUGAGUAACUACCCAUAUUUCACAAUCAUGAAGUGUCUUCAGGAACAUAAAAUUUUCCACUUUCAAGGCCCCAGCUCUAGACACUCCACUGUUGGACUCAAAAUAUUCAGUAAUUCUCCUGAUGACAUCAUCAGCUGUGACAUCUGCAUGAACAAACACAAAUGAUAAGGGGUAUUUCUUUGUGUCAACUGUCAAGUGGUGCAGCAGCUGUUAGAGGUUGGUUCCAGUUCCAUAUCACAGAAUUUGAUUGAGUGCAAACAACUGAGAGAGAGAGAGAGAGAGAGAGAGAGAGAGAGAGAGAGAGUACUGGGUCCAGGCUGAUUGGCUCCUUUAGCAAUGGAUUUAGUAUUUUCUUUACUCAGGGGCUCAAUUUCCAUAACCUCCGUUGUGGUGUUAGGAAUAGGACUUGAUGACAAUUUAUUCUCACUAAAGACAUGGAUCGCAUCAUAAAUACUGUCCAGCAGACCACAGGCCAUAGAUCUAACCUGCAUAUACAUGACACAGGACAUUAAAUAUGAUCACAAAAUGCUACCAGAACUUUUCAGCAACAGAUACAGAAAAAUAAGGAAGAACUGCAAGCUACCAAUCAGGACACAAGCUAUCCUCUCGAGAACUUUUCAGCAACAGAUACAGAAAAAUAUGAUCACAAAAUGCUACCAGAACUUUUCAGCAACAGAUACAGAAAAAUAAGGAAGAACUGCAAGCUACCAAUCAGGACACAAGCUAUCCUCUCGAGAAUUUAUCCUGCGCACCCAAGCUAGAAACAUAAACUAACGAAGAAAAAAAACUGAUUUUUUAAGAGAUGGACAAUCCACAUCUACAAUGUCACAAAAUGUGAAGUCCAAAUUUGAAAUACAGCUCAAAAAACAAAAAACAAAUUUAGCGCUGAUAGUGCUAGUGGGCCCAAUUCACGGCCCAAUUCAAAAUACUAUUCAUAAAAUAAUUUGCCUUAUUUGAUUCUCGAGCUGUGGGUCAAAUUUGAGUGUGAAUUUUUGUGUCAUUGUAAAUAUAUGCCGUUCUCCAUGCUGAAUUAUUUUCAAAGUUCUUUUACGACAUUUAUUUAGCUCGUGUUUUCACCUUGGGCGAACGCACCAUAAGACUUGGUGCACCGGAUGCAUUCACACCUCAUCAUACAAGUACAAGCCACGUAUGCUACACCUGCAGAUCUAUUGGCUCACAUCAGGAAAUUUAUGAUACCGAGCCUAACUAAUCUUAACUUUGAAGUGCAUUCUAUGUGUAGCAACUAAAAAGAAUGAAGCCGUUUUGCAAACAACAUAUCUGGUUAGUAGAUCCACUUGUAAUGUAGGAGUUGGCUGAAAAAGGAAUCAACUCACUGCAACAUUUAGGAAGCCAAUGCCUGGGUAUUGCGAGAAGAAAUUUAUCAUUUUCCUCUUUUCUUCUGGUGUUUCUGUAUAGUAAUUUGCUAUCAAUUCCAAAACCUGCAUCAAUGAGAAGUGCAAAAUAAAUUAGAUUUGGAAACAGUAAAAGGCCCUACUGAAACUGAAAACACUUAUAUUCUGCUGAACAAUUGAUGGAAUUCUUCGAAUUUUAGAGUUAAGAUGAAGAAAUUGUAUGCAGAAAACAUCGAAGGAGGGGGGGGGAGCUAACAAGUACUCCCUCCGUUCACAAAUACAAGAUGUUCUAACUUUUUUCUGAAUCGGAUGUAUAUAGACAUGUUUUAGUUUGUUCACUCAUUUCAGUCUGUAUGUAGUCCAUACUGAAAUAUCCAAAACAUCUUAGAUUAAGAAAAAAGUUAGAACAUCUUAUAUUUGUGAACCGAGUGGGUAGCAUUUUGUAAAGGAAAAGAUAGUUGAGGUCCACCAGCAAGAAUAUAUGCACUGUUUUUAACACCAGAAAGACUCAUGAUCCGACCAAGCACAGAUAGAAUUAAGAUGUGCCGCCCAGAUUUGAAUACCAGGAUUGAAACAGUUGGAAAAAUAUUGGUUAAAUCUGUCUGACCAAGGACAACAAACUCCAGGCCAAAAUAUCAUGUAUGUAAACCAUCAGCAGAGAAAAAAAACACAAAUAAACACAAACAAUCGGCAGAAAGACAAGACACACAGUCUUGCAGGUUUCCAUGGCAUAUCUGGGCAUCCACCAAUCAUCCAACUACCAGGCUGGAUCAAGCACAAGGAGGGAUGGCCAGAUCCAGGCAUGGUAAGGUGGGGAUCUGGCUUUUCCCGAGCUCAAGUGCGGCAGCAUGGCCCACAACGACCCCAACCUUAGUGGGGAUAUUUGGCGGGGGUCUCCCCCACCCCAAAUAUAGCUCUCGCCAUCGAAUCGCCAACACCGCUGCAGAUGUGCCACACCGUGUUUAUCGAUGGAGCAAAGACGAACAUGAGAGAAAUCGAUGCCUCGGUGGAGUGUUUGAGCACUUCCUUUAAAUUGGGUAGACCCGCAUGCUAUGUAUUCUGUUGGUAUUUAUGUUUGUAUUUGUAGCAAAAGAGAAAGCAGGCAGUUUUUUUAUGCAUAUGCAGAGCCCAGAUUCCAAGCUCAAUGGGGCUUGAGGGCUGAAAAUCCACACUCUGAUAAAUGUAACUAUAGUUCACAACUAUUCAGAGAACAAGGAUUUGACCAUAAGUAAACAGCUAGCAAGCAUACCUGUUGAACUGAAUGUUCACGGCAUGCUUCUUUCCAGGUUGUUAUGAAUUUCUCCAGCUUACCUGUACUUAGGAAGCAAUUAGGCGAGACUUCUUUCUUUUUUAUUUGCAUCUUUUGCCGCUUAUUGGGCUGUUUGCACAAAGAGCUAGGAGUCCCAUUUUCCUCAUAUUUCCUUUUGUUUCUUGAAUGGACAUUUACUUCAUUCGCUUUUACCUUGCUGCUCACAAUAGCUGGUUUUUUACUCUGUUCUGAUUUCAAACCAAGACGUUUAAUUUCUUCUGCUGUCGAAGGAUAUGGGCAGCCACUGACACUUUUAUCAACAUCCUUUCUGUCAACAAUAUAACAGCUAUCUUCGCUCUCACUCUCCUCCACGGCGUCCUUCGAACUACUACCGUCAUCAACUUCAUCACCGGCUGAAUCAAAACGAAUAUGUUUAUUGAUGCCUGGUAAUUGCUUUAUACGGCUAGUUAUAUCAUCGAACCUCUUGUCCAACUCCUGCUUCCCCGAAUGGAAGUCUGUCUGUUUUGGUAGAUCCUUCUCACAAGUGCUAUCACGAGAACCACUGGUCUUGCCUAGAUGUUUAAUUGCAGCAACUUCAUUUCUUCUGGCCUGUCGGAGAAAGGAAAUGUGCAACCUACAAAACCCCCCCAAAUCAGAUAAAUUAAAUAUUCUGGUGCAAAGUAAGAGACAAAAUAGUACUCCCUCCGAUUCAUAUUACUUGUCGCUCCAAUGGAUGUAUCUAACACUGAAAUAUGUCUAGAUACAUCCAUUUCAGCUACAAGUAAUAUGGAUCGGAGGGAGUAGCAGGAAGGCUGAAGAAAGUCAUUUCUAUCUCAAAGUACACACCAGUACCAACGUUGGAGCACGCAAGGAAAGUGAACAAGUAUGUGCCUAAAAGAGAAGGUACAUACCCCAAGCUCUGUACGCGCACGCCAAGUUUCUCCUUCCCAGAGACCGACUUUUGUUCCGCGAGAUGAUCCAAGAAGCUUUCCGCUGUGACUUUCUCCUUAGAAUUAUCAAUAAACUUCUGCAGGCAACUGAUAAUCUCCUCGCUACUAAGCUUAGGCACCUUGGAUAAAUCAGCAGGUACAAAAAAAUAAUGUGCAACAAGUGGGUGCUGAAGAAAAGGCCCCAACCCCAGCUCUUCGAACUGACCAAUACCCUCGUUCUUGCAUAUCUCAACCUCCAGGUCAUGAAUAGAUACGAUUUUUCUUGCUGCAACAUAACAAUGGAUGAAUGUGUUCACCUGGCAAACAACAAACCAAGUCCAUGUAAAGUCAAACAGCAGAUAACCAUGUGCAGUUCUCCCAAAUAUUACUUAGUGAUAAUUUGACCAUUAGAAAGAGCUCUGCAAGCUUUAUGCUGUUGCAGAAAAUGAGCAAAAAAGAAGCAUUCUGGCACUUGUUACAAAAUGAGCAAGCAUUUAAGCAGCGCUGUCUACAGAAAAUGAGCAAAAAGAAGCAUUCUCGCGCUUAAUUUAACAUGAGCCAUAGUGAAUUGCAAUGCUAUGCUAUGGCAAGGGAGCAUAUUAGUUAGGUUUCCUUUUCCUUACUCUUCUGUUUCUACAUAAUAGCAGAACAGAAGGUGCUGCGGAGUUUAGCACAGUUAAAUUAUCUGAUAAGAUGAGAACAUGUACCGAAAUUAACAUAGCAGGCAUGGAACGUGCACAAGCCUGGGUGCAGUGCACUGUGCAAACAUACUCGCAACUUCACCAAACACAGGGCAACAAUCUCAGCGCCACUUGUGUUUACAAAUGAAAUCAGAACAGAGUACUGCACAAUAUCCGGCAUGAGACGAAGGCCUAUAUAAGCAUGACAAAGCUAAUAAAAGAGGGAGAGCAGGGCAUAGAGCACACGGCUGCGCCACCCCCUGACAGUUUGCCUCAUGGUGCCAACACAUGGCAGUUUAAUUAUGAACUGGAGCGUAGAAGAAGCAGGGUUUGCAGGGUCAACGAACCAAGCUCCAGCAAUUGCAGAUGAAAUCACUGUGAAUUCAAAACAGAACAUAUACGAGCGUUGCGAGGUCACGUAGUCGCGUACAGUGCGAGCUACCGGGAUCUCAGCCGAGCAGGAACACUGACCUUGCCCUCGAUGCUGAAGAGUUCGCGCAGGACGGGCACGUCGUGGAGCUGGACGCCGAGGGAUCCCCACGAGUCCGCCUUGAGCGCCACGAGCGCCGCCUGGGCCACCUUCCACCCGGUGACGCCCUGGCCCGCGUGCGUGAGCUCGUCCCGCGCCUUGGUCGCCGCCGCCUGCGCCCUCUCGAGGGCCGCGGGGUUGCGCGGCGGCGGCAGCGGCUGCUGCUGCUGCUGCUGAGGCGGGGCCGACGCGGGCGAGGGGUUGGGCGGGCGGUGCUGGACGUUGGGGGUGGUAGGGCUCUGGGCGUAGCCGGGGGAGGGGAGCGGCGGCUGCUGGUACUGCUGCUGCUGAUGCUGAUGCUGCUGGAACUGCUGCUGGUGGUGGAAGGCCGCGGCGAGGGCGGCCUGGUUCUGGAGGAGGAGGUGAGGGAGCAUGAGAUGGAAGGGGUCCUGCCCNNNNNNNNNNNNNNNNNNNNNNNNNNNNNNNNNNNNNNNNNNNNNNNNNNNNNNNNNNNNNNNNNNNNNNNNNNNNNNNNNNNNNNNNNNNNNNNNNNNNNNNNNNNNNNNNNNNNNNNNNNNNNNNNNNNNNNNNNNNNNNNNNNNNNNNNNNNNNNNNNNNNNNNNNNNNNNNNNNNNNNNNNNNNNNNNNNNNNNNNNNNNNNNNNNNNNNNNNNNNNNNNNNNNNNNNNNNNNNNNNNNNNNNNNNNNNNNNNNNNNNNNNNNNNNNNNNNNNNNNNNNNNNNNNNNNNNNNNNNNNNNNNNNNNNNNNNNNNNNNNNNNNNNNNNNNNNNNNNNNNNNNNNNNNNNNNNNNNNNNNNNNNNNNNNNNNNNNNNNCGCGGGGUCGGAGGCCGAGGCGGCGCCGUGCCACGCGGCGGCGAAGGCGGCGCUGCGCGGGUCGUAGCCGUGCGGCGGCAUCUGGGGGUUGCCGCGGCCCCUCAUCGGGGCGGCGGCGGGUUUCGGGCGGCGCGGCUAGGGUGGGUUGGGAGGGGGGAGGGGGAGGCGGCGCCGAUGACGUGAGGUGGAAGAAGGGAAAAGGGAAGGAGGUGUGACCUCCGUGGACACGCGCGCUAGGGCGGCUUGGGCUCAGGGAUUUUAUCUUGGUUUACACCUCUGCGUUGCGGGCUUCGGGCUGGGCCGGUCACAAAAAUCGGCCGCCUGUCCUUCAUGGGGUUCCCACAACACAUUUUUUUAUUCUUAAAUCCAAAAAAAACGCUUUUUUACUUUCCUUUUUCUUCUGAAAACAUAUCUUUUAGGAGUAAUAGCUGGCCCCAUUAACUUUUUCUAAACCACAUGAAACUAUGAUAGCGCUGUGAUACACUCCCAACCCUAGCUAUUGUGCCCAUAACUUCCUUGCACGGCGCCGCCUGCGUCUUCCCCAUAUGGUCGACGACGAGGUGAGUUGGGGGGAAGGGGGCCAUCUGUCUUGUUUUCCUUUUCUUAUACUUUUUCCCUGUCAACAUCAACAACGUGGUGGCGGCGAUGGCCGUUGGAAUAAGGUAUCUUCGUUUUUUCCCUACCUCGUUGACGCCUGAUUUGGUGUAAGGAAGGGCAUGUGAUAGUUUGUGUCCCUAGAUUUGUUCAUAUAUUGGCAAAUGCUGCAUCUUUCAAGGAGAGCUACUUGGCCGACUUUUGAUUGCAAGUCCGUAUUGUGUCGGAUGAUUCUUCAACCGACAUUGCUUCGGCGAUUUUUAAAUCUCAUCUCAUGGGCGAAUGGUUAUUAUUGUCUUCAAAGGCUGGUAUGGUUAUUGCAAGGUUCGCAGGGGCCUUAAACAUUACAAAGACUUGUGCUCAAAUGUUAUGCAUCAACAAAGAAAACGACUCAAGUAAGAGAGCAUCUAUGUGGUAGGUAACUAAGUUUUUUUCGGUUUCAGUCGAUUGACCCUAGCCGUUUGAUUCAGGCCAAUGGCUGCCUCGCGUUAUUCUUUCACAACGUAUUCCCCAGGAUCCCCUCCCUCCCUUCCAAGUGGCGCCGGGGUUGGCCACCGCAUCCCCAUCUCAAGAUCGACUGCCAUCUAAUCUAAGUCGUAGUUAGAAUGAAAGCCCCCACCAGCACUUCUGAAUCCUCGUCCCAAUCUCCGACGUGGUCCUAGCUUGGUCUCGCCAUUGGCAACGCGGCCAUCCAUGUCGCCUUCGUCUAGCCUCAAAACUCAGCACUACAACUACUAAAAAUUCGACCAGUCUGAAAAAAUUCUCAAAUGCCUAAGGAAUAACAAAUCCACUAAAUAACAAUUGGUAAUGUCACUAUGUCUACCUCUCCAGACUGGCUGACUUGAUGUGGCUAAGAGCAACUCUAACCAAGUUGUCAUAUUUGUAGUCGUCAUAUUUGCAUAUGGAGCCUGAUCCAUAAUAUUUUGAAAGAUGGUCAGGUGACGUGCAAACUCAGAGUCACCAUAUCUCAACCUCAUAAUAUACUUUUUUGUUAUCUUUAUUCAACCACUUGAAUUGAAUCCAAAAGAUCAUAUUGGAGUUAAAAUCAACGUGUACAAAUCACAUGUUGUUGGCGUGUGCACCAUCCCCUUAUCUGGCAUGUGCAUCAUCCCCAUCUCCUCUGGCGUGUGCACCGUCCAGCUCUGGCAUGCACCCUUUCCUCAAAUGACCUGGAACAUAUGAUCGUCAUCCGCAUCCUCUACAAAAAUGCUCGCUCAUUGGAUUCAUGGUGUUCGGAUCCAACAUGAUGAACUGAUUCUCCACGGGUGUCUGUUCAUGUUCAGUUGUCACCCGACACUCCUCAAUUUCAAGCCUACGCGCCUCCGUCUCCUCAUGGCGUCGCCAUAGCAUCCCACCUCGGUAUCUUCUCUUGGAUCUUCUUCUCCUUCAUCUCGAGCCUUUCUUACUUCCUCUUAUCUGCGUACUCGUUCCUUGUCCUCAUCAAGACAGAGACACUAAUCUUUCUUUUCAUCACCUCCAUCUCUCCUUGUCUCUUGAGUUUCUCCUUUGUUACCUUCCUCUCGUCGGGUCGACCCGUUUCAGAGGCCGGAGUGGGACCUCUAGGCACCCUUUCCUCUCCAUCACCAUCGUCCAUCUCAUAAGAGGAAUUGUGCACUCCAAUUUUCGGAGAACUUUCAUCAUUCCUUGAUUUCUACUUCUCGUUGCCUUCCAAGAGAUUCCAACAAUGUAGGAGGCCAACACAAUUUGCCCUUUGACUUGGCCACUUAUUGUGCCUCUCCUGGGCUACAUAAUCCUAAAAGAUACUAAUACUCAAAUUGAUGUGAAUGCUCAAUAAAAUGCAAAUGUGGCAAUACAUUGCUUACAUAUUGCUCAAUGGCGACACUGCUAGGAGAAGUGUGCUUCACUUUCUCCAAACAACCAACCCAAUGAUUGCACAUCCUUUGACUCUUACCCCAUCAGCUUAUGAGAGAUUUGAGAGUAUGUCUGGUUGGAUGCCCAAGGUGAUGUUUGAAAUGCUCCUUGAUGUGCUUCCAAUACUUUGAACUUAUUUGAUCUUUUCCAACAGCCACACCGAGAGAGAUCUUUUGUUACCCCCUCACAACCACAAUAUCAUCACUCGCGGGGUAGCUUUCAGCCCGAAUAUCUUUCUUCCUUGACAACUGGAGGGUUGGGAUUGAUCAAAUUUUGUAUCUCGGUUGUCCGCAUCCAUUUGAUCUAAAUGCGAUGCGCCCAGAACAUCAAAAUCAUUUGUGCCACUGGACUCACCCAUCAUACUCCCGAUAAAUGAUUCGUCCUUGAUGGUCGACCCCCCCCCCAAAAAACACAAAAUCCUCCCCAAAAUCACAGAAUCCUCGCUAAAUCACUAUCAUUGCACAUUUGCCAACAUUUUUCCACAAUCAUCUUGCAUUCGAUUGAACAAACUGAAUACAAGCAAUGUAUCGCUUUUUUACCUCUCUUCGUUUCGCCCGCGUCAGACUAGGAAGGCACCCGAGUUUCACCCGCCGCCGGGAUGAAGAGAGGAGGGGCUCGACCACUGUCCGACGUCUUCUCAUUAUAUUUCUUCAUUGAUGGUUGUGCGACACAAACGGGGGGAACGGCAAUGCAUGUGGUGGCAUAGGGGUUUGUCACCUCUAAGCCUGGCUCAUUACCGACAUGAUGGACGAGGUAUUUGCCUAGGUGGUGGUGAACCGCAGGCAAAGGCGCAACGAUCGUUGAAGUCGUGGGAUCCGACUCCAAACCAACGGACUAGGAAGCGGGGGUUGAGGCGGCAUCCGUGAGGUUGUUAGUGGGGAUUGGGGACGAAAGGAAGCGGCACAGGUGGCGCUACAGAGAGGGAGGGAAGGUGGCAGCGCAGGCGGGGAGAGCAGAUGGGGAAAUGUCACUCGCGCCAAACCAUUUUCAAGAUGUAGUGCGCCCUAAAUACCCUCUCUCCAACUGCCAAAUAUGAAGGCUUGCAGGCUCAAUUGGAGCGGCCUCCAAAGAUUAUGCCGGAUGGCGACUAUGCCAGACGUCACGGUUUUUGCCAGAAUUAUCGUGCUGAUGGUUAUUGUUGCGAUCGGGCACUUAUGGCAACUCUACUAGAGUUGCUUGCUCUAGGUCAGCAAACCUGUAUGCUGUAUGAGCUGUCAAAUUCAAUAUUGGCCGACUUGCUGGCUUGCCUCUCUAUGAGUAGUCAAAUUUCAGAUAAGGACAUGCUACGGUACAUACCUCGGAUGCAUGGUACAGAAUGACCAGGAGAGCUGUUGCAGUGUUGAACAGGACGUGUACAGUAAAAUGAUCUGGACCACUCCAUUUAGAUCCGGCGGUUCAAAGUGAACCAAGUUACCUGUGACCUUGGCCACACAAAGUCGGCCAAGCCGAGGCCGUGCUAGACUAGUGCCGACAGAAAACAGCUCCAUGUUCAUCGACAGAGAAAGAUACUGCAGCACAACAACGUGCAAGUCCUACAAUGACAGGCCCAUGUGUGGGCCAAAUUCAUGGCAAAGACAAUGACUGAAACCAACUCACUAAUUGAUGUAAACUCGCAAGAUUGCUCUUCUGUGCCUGAUGGGUUGUAAACGACCAUUAACCACAAUCAGCCACUCAAAAAGUAAUGAUAGUAUCAAUUCAUCUAAGCUUUUCUACCAUUAACAUUUACAACUGAAGUUCUUGAGCAGUCAGAAAUUCUAUAUAUAUGGGAGAAAGAGGAGCACCACAAGCCGAUCCAGAAGAGUCCCCACAAGCUGCCUGUUCGUUCAUUCCCUCGGUCGUUUCUAGCUGAAACUCGGCCCGUGUCAUCUCUAAACAAAACUCGGCCCGAUCAGUAACACCAAAAAGAGGUCAGGUGCCACCGGUUCCCUCAUCGCUAUCUCAUGUUGCAGCACCGUGGUCUCCCAGCCUGCAGCUUGUCCCACAAACACAGCAUCUGCCUCGGUGAUUGGUAAUGCGCGGUGUAGUAGUCGUCUAUGCAUCCGAAUUGACAGAACUUGACGCUGUGCACGUAUUCGACGGGUCUGGUGUGGUUGAAACGCCCCACCCACAUUCCCAUGCUCACGUCUUCCAUUUUGAAGAGCUGCACAGCAAGCAAAAUGUGAAUUAGUCAUCUUCUUUUUAUUACCAGAAACGAACUAGUGGUCUGUCAACGUUUUUUAUGCCCAGAUUCUCUUCUUUUCAACCCGGUUCAAGUUAUCUUGUGCAUGGAAAUCUGCAUAGUUUUUUAAUAUGGUAUUACGGCUGCUCCACUGGGAGCAUAAACAUAAUCUGGUGAAAUUCUGGUUCAUUCUGGUGGUAUGAAAAUUGUUGACUAAUUUCUGUAGCAUGUGGGCCAGAAGCAUUUGUCUGAUCUUACCCUUAAUUUAUGAUCUGUAAAUUCUGAAACAAUGGAAUCUGCGAUAUCAGCAGAUAUAACAUAUCCAGGACCAUUUGCAUAUGUUGGAUAAUCCUCUUCUGGCCACUCCUGUCAAGUACAAUAGAAAAGCAGAGAUAAGAAAUAUGUGCAUUUACUGCGGACACCGUACACUGCUUUUGGUUAAAGGAGUAACUUGAUUGGAACUUAAAGUGGAAAAGCAUAAUAGACGUGUCUAGUAUUCAGAUAGUACAACCUGUUGAAAUUCAGAGUAAUUACCUACUGGAAAAUAUGAAAUUAUGACAGGAAGUCUGAGGCAGCACACAAUAACUUUUAGAGUAAAGUUGUGCAUUCUUCCUACAGAUUUAUUCAGGCUCUAGCAAGCAACAAAGCAAACUGUCCUACUGGCAGGAACUAACGACUGCAUCUUUUAUAGCAACUUUGGCUCAAACAUAAAUUACAGCGAGGGACAAGUACGAGAACUCAUCUAUUUUAAAUAAGAACAGAAAGUUCAAUAACUUCUGGACUGUUUGCUACAGCAAUGUAGUGAAGCACUAACUUAAUAAACCGAUGAAAGAAAAAAGGACAGUCGUUGUGAAAUCAAUUCUUCAAGUUUACCUCGUAAGUAACAGCCCAUUUCCCAAUGCGCAAUGGAUUGUGGCGAUAAUUCAUGUUCCCUAUAUAAAGACUUCUACCGGUCGGUAUUUUCUUAACUUCAGCCAUUACUGCAUCAAGUCUAACAAAAGUAUCAUCAUCACACUUCAUUAUAUAUUUCGCAGAGACGGCAUGGACCUGAGAGAGAAAGGGUUCAUUGGUGGCAAAUAGUCAAUAGAGCGAGUUAAUUAGCAAAUUUGAAAAUGGGUACUAGCUCUUACACAUACCCCAUAUUCGCAUAUCGCAACCGUCUUCAGAACAACCAAAUCAUAGCUGUCCAUGAAUGGCACAAUGACAAUGUCCCCAAAAAAUUCUGCUUCCUUUUUCAACUCUAGAUUCACUUCCUUUCUGGCAUGCUGCAGAAAAGAUAAUUCAAAAGCUCAAGCCCAUGGAUAGUGGAGUACACAGCUAGGAAUUACUAAGCCAUAGACUGAGUCAACAAAAAUUACCAGCGCAACAAAAAAUCGAGCAACGACAUUCGAAGUCUUCUGGGCAGCAGACAUCCACGUCUUGCGAGCAGCCAUACGCUCUGCAAAAUGGUUGCCUGCUGACAGGAUGCCGAUGAAUAUCUCGGCUGGUUCUUCCGGUAGGGGAGGGGCCUGCCAAGCUGGAAACAUCUCAAGGUGUUUCUGCGGUGCAAAGCUAGGAUGCGUAGUGGGCAAAGUCCCCGCAAACACUGAUUGCACAUCAAGGUCCCCAUUCAAUGAUAGGCCAGUAGCAUCCUCAAGCCCAAACCCCUGCAAACACCACCAGAGACAAAAGUUAGCCACAGUGCCCCACCAUUCUAACAUCUAAUUAUGCUUCUCAUAUCUUGAUGAGCAGAGAGUUGGCACUUACGAUGCGGUACGGGAAUGACGUCACAUGCCGGCCAUCAACAUUCACAUGAUAUCCCUCCAAUCCAGCGGUGAGAGUAAGAACAAAGAGGCGGUCCUCCACAAAUGGGUAUGGCCAAGAACUAGAAACCUUCUUGGUCCGGCCAAUGAGGUGAUUCAACCACCAUGACGUCUUGGACUCGUUGGACUGAUCUUCAUCCUGAAUCCACUUCUCACACUUGACCAUCCCAUCCACUGAACAACAAUUCAAUCAAUUUUAUCUAUCUAUCGUACAGCCAAAAUAAUCAAUAACAGAGUAGCUAAACAGUAGUAGUAGUAUUUGAUCAGUCAGGCAACAAAGAAAGAGAAACAGGGUGUAGCAUACCAGUCUCCUCGUCGGCACGGGACAUCCAGCCCUCGCAUCGGAUGGAGGUGCCCCACUGCAUGCGGUAGCAGGUGUUUUGCUCGAUGACAGGCUUGCCGCUCCAGUCGCCGUGGAGGCGGGGGUUGAAGUGGAGGAUCCUGGGCGGGUCCUCGCCGUCGACCGUCUUAAGCCCCUGCAGCUCCAUCAUGAACUGCGAGACCAUGAGGGGCUCCUCCCCCUCCCUGAGCUGCGCGAUCUUGGGGUCCUGCUCGGGGUGCGCGGCGUACGGCGUGGCGGCGACGGUGAUGUAGGAGCCGAGCGUGAGCCCGCAGGGGAGCUCCACGGUCCGCCCCCGGGCCCGGAACUCGUCGCCGGCGAGCACGAUGGAGUGCGGGCACUUGGCCCUGUCCUCCUCGUCGAGCGGGUCGGGCAGGGACGCGCCCCCGAGGGCGUAGAGGUCGGCGAAGACGCGGGCCCCGGCGGCGGCGGCCUCGGCGGCGACCUUGCGCAGCGAGCCGCCGGCGCGGGAGGAGUUGAGGCGGCCGAGGUCGAGGCCGGAGACGAUCCCCGACGGCGCCGCCUCGAGGGCCUCCCGGUGCGCGCGCACGGAGGGGCGCGCCGGCGCGCCCCGCCCGGCCGCCGCGUCGUCGCCGUCGACGUGCAGGUGGCGCGCCCCCGCCCCCGCGGCGCCGGGCAGGGGCAGGGAGGGCGGCGAGGCGAGGAGCACCUGGAAGAGCGCGUAGGCGAGGAUGAAGAAGGCCGCGAAGCCCUGGACGGCGCGGCGGCGGGAGGGCGCGGCGGCCGCCAUCCCCCUCCGCAUUGCAGGCAAGCCCUAACCCUAGCUGGGAGGCGAGCGGGGGGCGGCCGGAGCCGCGGGUACGGGUCGGGAGGGGAGCGAGCCGGGCGGGGGCGGAGCAGAGGCGGCCCACGGAGGGAUGGAUGGAAAGGGCAGGGGACGGGAAAGCCGAGGCCGCGGGACGGGCGUGGUACGUGUCCGCCGCGUUGUUCUGAAGAGAGAUGAUCGACGGUUUCCGCCCCGUUCAAACCGAUGCGGGUCGCAUUAUUCUAGUGCUAUUUUAUUUCUCUCUCGCCCGCCCGCCCGCCUUGUGUGAUUGUGAAAAGCAGCGCGCCUAAUUUACUCCGUUGCGCGCACAGGCACAGUGGUGGGUUCGGCACGCGGGGGGAGGGGAGGGUGGCGUCGCGUGGGCUCGGCGCACGGUGGAUCGGCCUGCUGCCGUGCCGUGUACCUGGGGGCGCUGGUGUGCGUGGAGCUGUGGACUGAGUGCGUGGACGACGUAUGGGUGGGGUAAAGCGGCGCGCGCCGGCGCUGGGGUGGGGUGGGGUUGGGGCGGGCGAAGCAUCCCGUGCGGUGGGGUUGACCGGUGCUCACCUGGGUCGGGCGUUGAACAUUCGCUGCUAUACAUCCAAACGGAAUGAUUCCAUGGAGCGAUACGGUCCCGGAAGGUUUAGAUCUUGCUCUUGCUCUUGGGGUUGGACGGCCGGCCGUUUUCUAUGUGUGCGCCCCCGUCUUUCUUUGUUGCUUCUUUGCCUCCCUACCCUCUGUUGCAAGGAGUGUAGAUGGUAUGUAUGCCUUCGAUUCAAUUUAAGUUAACCAAAUGUGCAUUUCCAAGUGUUCCAUUAGAGUAGCAUGUGUCGUUGCUUGCUAGUGGAAGAUUAGGGCGGUGGCGGCGCUUCGGUGUCGUGUCCUGUUGGAAAUAUGAGCAAUUUACCAAAAGAUUUUAUAUUAACAGAAAUACUAGAUAAAGCAUGAUCAGAAUAGUAGUGAUAAAACAAGCCGUGUGAUUUGACAAAGAGAAGGUAAACAAUAUCUUCAUAUAUGAACUGUAACUAAACAUAUCUAGAGCAGACAGUAUAGCAAGUUGCAUAUAUGAAAAGAGUCUAACAUAUCUAGGGCAAAUACUAGAACAAGGAACUGUAGCAGGACCUCUAAUAGAAAGGAGAAGAACACGUACGGGACAGCAGCAGCAGAAGCGCUGGACUUGGGGUCGGUGUCCUCGCCUGCCGUGUCAUCGAGGAGGUCGGGGAAGAAGUCGUCGUCGGGGAAGUAGUCGUCGGCGACCGGAUCGUCUGUGAUGAAGCAGCCAGUAGUCGCGCUGAGCGCUCCCCAAAAACCUUAUCACCCUUCUCCCGUACAAGACUCAAAAGGUGCGGUUUCGGAGGCCUACUGUCCCAACGUGCGGUGCACGCCGCAAGCCGGAAGCCGGGAUGAGGAAGAUAGCAGCAGCUCAGAGAUGGAACCGAUGGCGAGGGAAGGAGUAGUUCUGGUACGUCUCUCUGGGAGGAGUGACCUCCCUUUUAUAGGCGCAAGAGAAGGAGGCGAGAGGGCAGCGAUGGGAGGCGAAACGAACAGCCAACAGCCGAAGGGCUGCACCGUUCGCAUUCGAACUCACCUUUCAUAUACCCGUAGUGCGUGGCAAAAAUCUAGACAUCGGCUCGGCUCAUUCCCGCAACCCGCGGCGCCACGUCGUGACGAGGCGUGGCGAGGCGGGCGGCGGAGGAGGAGCGCGCGUGGAUGUCCCUCUUGUUCUCAUGCUCAUACAAGUGGGGAAAGAACCUCCCUUAUAAAGAGGUCCAACUCCCUCUAAACUAGCAAUGUGGGACUAAACUUUAGUCCCACCUCUUGCCUUGCACAAAUGGGCUGCGUGGGCCUCUAGGAUUUAUUAGGAAUUUCUGAAACUGCUAUUGGGCUAGGCCUAAAAUAGACAAAAUUCCAGCAAUCCCCAACCAGAUCCCAAAGGCACACAAAAUUUGCCUUUGGUUCCAAAACACUAUUUUAUAUACCGGUACUGCAGUGAAGACUGUUAAGUUGAACUUCCACCUAGAACUCUAUGCUACACUAGUAAGCAACUUGAACAGUGGACUCGGCCUUGAACUGCAAGUUUUCUGUGAAUCUAGCUUCACAUAAAGCCUUGACCGAUACGUGGCUACCGUGGGUCUUCCCUGCAGGUGGAGCUUAUGCGUCAUACUCCGAGACCUUUCAUGAGUUUACUAGAGAGAACCCUACUCUCAUAGAUUGCGACAUUUAACAAUCAGACUCAUAUAGGUGUGUUCUUCAAAAGAUGUUCUGCGGGACAACAUCUCUGCUUAAAAGAGCCACUUAGAACACAUUAAGAUAUACAUCAACCUGCCAUGCAGAUUAGAAGAGUAUUGCAUCUUCAUGGAGUGGUAUUGUUAAUAGUAAGGAUACUCUCCUCUCAGUUGACCAACAACUUGUCUUCCACAUCUAAUUCACGGGAUCUCCGAUCACAAAGAAUAGGUUACCACUGUGAACAACUCAUAUUGUGGGUCUCAUACCCAUCUCCCUCGAUGCAUUAUCUAUCACAUUACGUGAUAGACCCUUAGUAAAAGGAUCUGCCAGAUUUUUAGACGUUUGGAUAUAAUCCAAUGCAAUAACUCUGGAGUUUUUCAUUUUCCUGACAGACUUUAACCUUCUCUGAACGUGUCUUGAUGACUUCAUGUUAUCCUUUGAGCUGCUCACUUUAGUUAUCACAGUUUGAUUGUCACAGUUCAUAAGGAUACCCGGUACAGGUUUCUCAACAACCGACAAGUCAUUCAAGAGCCGACGAAGCCAAUCUGCUUCGACCGUAGCUGUAUAUAGUGCUGUGAGUUCUGCUUCCAUUGUUGACCUCGUUAAGAUGGUCUGCUUGCAAGACUUCCAAGAAACAGCGCCACCUUCAUGAGUGAAUACGUAACCGCUCGUGGCCUUUAUCUCAUCAGUAUCUGAGAUCCAGUUUGAGUCACUAUACCCUUCAAGCACCUUUGGGUGCCCAGUGUAGUGAAUUCCAUAAUUCGCAGUGCCUUUCAAAUAACGCAAAACUCUCUCUAGAGCUUUCCAAUGCACAUCUCUUGGUUUUGAAACAAAUCGACUCAGUUUGCUAACAGCAAAAGAGAUGUUAGGUCUUGUAGCACUGGCUAAGUACAUAAGCGAGCCAAUAAUCUGAGAAUACUUCAAUUGGUCUCUAGCAAUUCUUCGAUUCUUUUGAAGCAACACACUAGCAUCAUAUGGUGUUGGAGAGGGCUUGCAGUCACUAUAGCCAAAGCGACUCAAGAUCUUUUCCACAUAGUGAGAUUGAAGCAAUGUAAUCCCACCAUCAUCGUCUCUCAACAACUUGAUGUUCAGAAUGACAUCAGCCACUCCUAAAUUCUUCAUCUCAAAACAGCGAGAUAGGAAAUCCUUGACCUCCUUAAUAACAUUUAGAUUUGUUCCGAAAAUUAGUAUGUCAUCAACAUACAAGCAAAGGAUAACUCCCUCGCCCCCACCAUGGCGAUAGUACACACAUUUGUCAGCUUCGUUUACAACAAAGCCUGCAGCUGUUAAAGUUCUUUCAAACUUCUCAUGCCACUGUUUAGGUGCUUGCUUGAGUCCAUACAAAUACUUUAACAACUCGCACACUUUUCCUUCCUGACCAUCUAGUACAAACCCAUCUGGUUGUUCCAUAUAAAUUUCCUCGUCCAACUCUCCAUUUAGGAAAGCAGUCUUAACAUCCAUUUGAUGAACGAGAAGACCAUGUGAAGCAGGUAGUGAAAGUAGAACUCGAAUAGUGGUCAGUCGAGCCACAGGUGAGUAAGUAUCAAAAAAGUCUUCUCCUUCCUUUUGGGUAUAACCCUUAGCCACGAGCCGAGCCUUGUACUUUUCAAUAGUACCAUCAGGCCUAAGCUUCUUCUUGAAUACCCAUUUGCAUCAUAUAGGUUUGCACCCAUAAGGACGAUCAGUUAUCUCCCAAGUUUCAUUCGCCAAGAUGGAAUCCAUCUCGCUACGAACCGCUUCCUUCCAGUAGUCAGCAUCUUCAGAUGCAUAAGCCUCUGAAAUAGAACUGGGAGUGUCAUCUAUGAGAUACACAAGAAAAUCAUCACCAAAGGACUUUGCAGUCCUCUGUCUCUUGCUCCUAGUAGGAACUUCAUUGUUCUCCUCCACAGGACUUUCAAAGUGUUCCAUCGAAAUGGCAGGUUCAGUAAUUGUAACUAGUUCCUGAUUCGAUGAACUAGGCAUCUCCUGAUUAGAUGAGGUAGCCAUAUCCUUCAUGGGAAAGAUAUCUUCAAAGAAAGUCGCAUCAUUCGACUCCAUGAUCGUACCGACAUGCAUGUCAGGUACCUCAUAUUUUAGAACCAAGAAUCUAUAGCCAAUGCUAUGAAAAGCAUAUCCCAGGAAAACACAAUCCACAGUCUUUGGUCCAAGCUUCCGCUUCUUUGGAAUUGGAACAUUGACUUUCGCCAAACAACCCCAUGUUCGCAGAUAAGAGAGUUAAACCUUUUCUUCUCCCAUUCCUCGAAUGGAGUUAUCUCUUUGUUCUUUGUGGGGACUUAGUUUAGGACAUGACAUGCUGUCAAUAUCGCCUCCCCCACCAUGCCUUGGAGAGACCUGAUGUGUCUAACAUGGCGUUAACCAAAUCAGUUAGAGUAUCAUUCUUUUUUUCGGCCACCCCAUUUGACUGAGGUGAGUAGGGAGGCGUCCUCUCAUGGAUUAUACCAUGUUCCGCACAAAAAGCAUCAAAUUCAUUGGAAAAAUACUCUCCACCACGGUCGGACCUAAGCCUCUUGAUUUUUCGAUCAAGUUGGUUUUCCACUUCAGCUUUAUAGAUCUUGAAAAAGUUCAAAGCCUCAUCCUUAGAUUUCAGAAGAUACACACGACAGUAUCUAGUGGAGUCGUCAAUUAACGUCAUGAAAUAUUUCUUUCCACCUUUUGUCAAAACACCAUUCAUUUCACAUAGAUCUGAAUGUAUGAGCUCUAGUGGUGCAAGAUUUCUCGUUUCCGCAGUCGUGUGAGACUUACGAGGUUGCUUAGCUUGCACACACACUUGACACUUAGAUCCCUUGACCGUGGUGAAACUAGGGAUUAAGUUCAACUUUGCUAGUCGCGACAUGCAACCAAAGUUAACAUGACAAAGACGUGAAUGCCACACAUUUGAUUCACUAUUGGUGCAAACAUGAUUAACAACUUUAUUGCAAACGUCUGAUAAGGAUAAACGAAACAUGCCUCCUGACUCAUAGCCUUUACCAACAAAGGUUCCAUACUUGGAUAUUACAAAUUUAUUCGACUCAAAGACAAGCUUGUAGCCAUCUCUACACAGAAGAGAUCCGCUAACAAGAUUUUUAUUGACGGAGGGGACAUAAUGCACGUUCUUCAGCCGCACGAUCUUCACCGAAGUAAACUUCAGAUCGACCAUGCCAACACCACGAAUAGAAGCACUUGAACCGUUGCCCAUCAGCACGGUUGAAGUCCCUGCGGUCUGAUAAGACGAAAACAUGGAAAUAUCACCGCAUACAUGCACAUUAGCACCCGUGUCAAUCAACCAAUCAGGAGAAUGACAUACUGAAAGAAUAGUGGGAAAUAUACCAUACCCAGCAUCCUUCAUGUCAGUGUCUCCAAUGACAACAUUAGCGGUCUUGCCGCCUUUCCCAGGAUGACGCUUGUCAUAGCGAUUAGGGCAACUAGGUGCCCAAUGAUCAGGAUCCCCACACACAUGACAGACACCUUUCUUCUUGUCAUUCUUCUUCUUGAAGUUCUUGUGCUGGACAGCCUUGUUCUUCCCAUCAAACCUUGCUUUACCAUCAAACUUGCCCUUGUUCUUGAACUUGUGGGGCUGGAAGUUCUGCUUCUGUACCACAUUGGCACUAGAUCCUCCCUCAAUACCUCGAGCACGUGUGUCCUUUGCACUCGCCUUUUCUUCCACAUCAAGAGUGCCAAUGAGAUCCGGGACGGAAAAGUCCUGCCUCUUAUGCUUCAGCAAGGUAGCAAAGUUCCUCCAUGAAGGAGGAAGCUUAGUGAUGAUACCUCCGGCAACAAACUUGUCCGGUAGCAUACAACUGAAGUGCUCAAGUUCUCUAGCAAAUGACUGUAUCUCAUGAGCUUGCUCAACCACGGAGCGCUCUUCAGUCAUCCUAUAAUCAUAGAAUUGCUCCAUGAUGUACAGCUCAGUGCCAGCAUCCGAGACCCCAAACUUGGCCUCGAGUGCAUCCCACAUAUCUUUUCCAUUAUCAAUUGACGCAUAAGCAUCAACUAUGUUCUCACCAAGAACACUCAAGAGAGCAGCCUUACACAGAGUAUCCAUUUUCUGAAAGGCUUGUGCCUGUUGAGCAUCAAGCUCUCCUUCAGGUUUGCCAAGGGUGGCGUCAUAACAACUCAUGGUUUGAAACCAUAAGACUGCUCUCACGCGCCACCUCUUAUAGUGGAUACCCUCAAACAUAGGAGGUCUCAUGGAAGCAGCAAAACCACUCAGGGUAAAUUGCCUAUAAUAAGGUUUUUGGAUUGUUGGAAAUAUGAGCAAUUUACCGAAAGAUUUUAUUAACAGAAAUACUAGAUAAAGCAUGACCAGAAUAGUAGUGAUAAAACAAGCCAUGCGAUUUGACAAAGAGAAGGUAAACAACAUC